This 58-nucleotide transfer RNA is filed under the name Angiostrongylus cantonensis (rat lungworm). RNAcentral's name for it is "tRNA-Phe". RNAcentral also lists the same sequence under 1 other name. Lineage: Eukaryota; Metazoa; Nematoda; Chromadorea; Rhabditida; Metastrongylidae. The record is from RNAcentral.
AUUCUUUUAGUUUAAAUUUGUAAAAUGUGACUUUGAAGAAGUUGAGAUAUAAGGAAUG